Molecule: ribosomal RNA, 253 nt
Filed under: uncultured bacterium
Lineage: Bacteria
Description: partial 16S ribosomal RNA
Rfam family: Bacterial small subunit ribosomal RNA
Source: RNAcentral
UACGUAGGGGGCAAGCGUUGUCCGGAUUUAUUGGGCGUAAAGAGCGUGUAGGCGGCUGGGUAGGUCCGCUGUGAAAACUCGAGGCUUAACCUCGAGACGUCGGUGGAAACCAUCCAGCUAGAGUCCGGAAGAGGAGAGUGGAAUUCCUGGUGUAGCGGUGAAAUGCGCAGAUAUCAGGAAGAACACCUAUGGCGAAGGCAGCUCUCUGGGACGGUACUGACGCUGAGACGCGAAAGCGUGGGGAGCGAACAGG